This 506-nucleotide ribosomal RNA is filed under the name uncultured bacterium. RNAcentral's name for it is "partial 16S ribosomal RNA". It matches the Rfam family "Bacterial small subunit ribosomal RNA", at positions 29 to 523 of the family's 1533-position model. The record is from RNAcentral.
AGUGAACGCUGGCGGUAGGCCUAACACAUGCAAGUCGAACGGCAGCACAGAGGAGCUUGCUCCUUGGGUGGCGAGUGGCGGACGGGUGAGGAAUACAUCGGAAUCUCCUCUGUAGUGGGGGAUAACGUAGGGAAACUUACGCUAAUACCGCAUACGACAUACGGGUGAAAGCAGGGGAUCUUCGGACCUUGCGCGAUUGAAUGAGCCGAUGUCGGAUUAGCUAGUUGGCGGGGUAAAGGCCCACAAAGGCGACGAUCCGUAGCUGGUCUGAGAGGAUGAUCAGCCACACUGGAACUGAGACACGGUCCAGACUCCUACGGGAGGCAGCAGUGGGGAAUAUUGGACAAUGGGCGCAAGCCUGAUCCAGCCAUACCGCGUGGGUGAAGACGGCCUUCGGGUUGUAAAGCCCUUUUGUUGGGAAAGAAAUCCAUCUGGUUAAUACCCGGGUGGGAUGACGGUACCCAAAGAAUAAGCACCGGCUAACUUCGUGCCAGCAGCCGCGGUAA